UACGAAGGGGGCUAGCGUUGCUCGGAAUUACUGGGCGUAAAGCGCACGUAGGCGGCUUUCUAAGUCGGGGGUGAAAUCCUGGAGCUCAACUCCAGAACUGCCUUCGAUACUGAAGAGCUCGAGUCCGGGAGAGGUGAGUGGAACUGCGAGUGUAGAGGUGAAAUUCGUAGAUAUUCGCAAGAACACCAGUGGCGAAGGCGGCUCACUGGCCCGGUACUGACGCUGAGGUGCGAAAGCGUGGGGAGCAAACAGGG
RNAcentral lists this ribosomal RNA (254 nucleotides) under uncultured bacterium. Its description in RNAcentral is "partial 16S ribosomal RNA". It matches the Rfam family "Bacterial small subunit ribosomal RNA", at positions 524 to 777 of the family's 1533-position model. The record is from RNAcentral.